Molecule: long non-coding RNA, 2888 nt
Organism: Cygnus olor (mute swan)
Lineage: Eukaryota; Metazoa; Chordata; Aves; Anseriformes; Anatidae
Exons: 3
Source: RefSeq, a predicted model, not a curated record
CCUUUCCUUGUAAUGUCCUUACGUCAGCUUGCAACAUUGCAAUAUUUCCUCUGCUGGGGCGGGCGGCGGCGGGGGAGGCGAGGCGAGGCGAGGCGAGGCGAGGCCAGGCGGCAGCUCCGCUUUGCUCCGCUCCGAGCCGGCACACAAUCUCAUGUUACACCGAACCUUGACACAAGGAAGCUACUUCAUCGGGCAUCAGCAUUGUACUGACAAUAAAAUUGUGUCUUCAGCAUGGCUCACCAGAAUCUGCAGGGUUCAUAAAACCUGAACUUUGACCAUCCUAUCAGAUGUCAAUAAAAACUUACCAGCAUUUUGUACAAGACUUUAAGAUUUCAAAUGCUUUUUUUUUUUUUUUUGAGGAAAAGAUUCUAAUAAUUCAGAAAAUCACGAGUAGUCCUCCAGCACCACCACCCUUCCUGGUAUUCCUGUGCCACUGCUGCAGCCAGGGGGGAGCCCCAGAGAGGGCAGUGGGAUCAAAGAGCAAUCAUCUGCCUUGCAGCAUCACCCUGACCACAUCCUGCAGCCUUUCAGGUGUGCUGGCAGAUGUGCUUGUUGAAGAAUCUACUCGAGACUACUGCAUUAGUAGCAGAGGGAUUACAACCCGCUUCCUGUGCCCACAGCCUCUGGUCCAAGGGUGAAGACACGCACCCACGCGUGUACCUCCACUGAGUGGAUUCACCACAUUGUUCAGCUCCCCCUAACCUGUGAGUGUGCAGCCUGUGCUCAGCCCCAGAGUUGCUACUGCUGCAUCACCCCAAUUCUCAGUUGCCAAACUGUUCAUCCACACUGCAGAGAGCAAGAAGAAAAAAAGUGUUGGUUCUGAAUUAGAUUCUCAUGUUCCUGCUCAAACUGUACCUGCAGACUCCCCCAGAGACUUCCACAAGCAUCUACCAGCUGCCGAGAGCUUGUCCUCCUCUUGCCUCAGCAUCUGCCUCUGCCAGCCCCAUGUCGUUUUUGCCCGAGAAGACAGGUUCUGGCCUCCCGGGGGCAGUGCCAGGCACUGAAAUGGGCCAUGAAGGAAGUGCUCCGGGUAACAGGCACAAACGUAAUGCAAGCCGAACUUUCACCAUAAUUUCUGGAAACAGUCAAUGCAUCGCUUUGUAUUUGGGGCAAUGAUCUAGUCCAUUUGCUGUACUUUCACAUCCUGACUUCAGUCAUGCUUGUGUGGAUAGCUAGUUGCACUCCAGCUACACAUGACAAAUUUUGCAGGUUUAGUUACACUAAGGAAAGGCGUGAAGUCACUGUACUUCCAGCACAUGGCACACAGGUAAUAUCUAUGUAGGCAACAUCAGACAAGAUUUAUUUUUGUUGACAUCGAUUAUUGCAUGGCAGUGACUGGUUUAUGCUAUAGCAGUGGAAUACAUCCUCUCUGCUGUUGCAAGAGGGGGCAACUGGUGCCUUGUAACUUCACCAGAGCAAGAGAUGGAACACACACUCCACAGUGGGAGAAUAGUACUGCAUGGUUGCUGGGCAGGAAGGGACACAGUCCCAAGAGCUCAGCAACAGAAUCCCCAGCAUAGCUGCUGUUAUACCAGGAAAACUGCUCCUCUCCAGCUCACUUCACUUCUGAAGGGAGAGAGGAAGAAUGAUUGCUGCAAUUUGCACAAAACACAGCUGCGCUGCUAUAAACUGCAUCUAUAGUAAGAGCACAGAGCUGUUAAUACUGCUCAUGUAGACACAACAUGAGAUCAAAAACGCUCAGGGCAAGACUGUUUUUAACAAUGUGUGUCAGGCACUAGAGUAAACAGAUGAACAUUUAGAUAGAGACAGCAGACAAUAAGGGCGUGCCUAGACAGAAAAGCUAUUCUGAUAUCAACCUAGGUAUAAACGUAUAACUACUCGUGUUAUGUCAGUACGAUCCAUUAUGUGAUCCAUAAUGCUCACAUAACAGAAUAAUUUGCUCUCAGCUACAAGGAGCUGGGAUACAAGCAGUGCUGAUCAUCUUGUAUGUCAAACAUAAUACUGAUGCACCACUGCAAGCACCUGGGGAUGGCCUUUUUCUUUUUAAACAACUGUCCUUGUUAUUUCUGUCAAAUAUUUGCAUCUCAUUAGCUAUCUUGCAUUUAAGAGUGGGCAUCUGAAACAGCUGUAUAAAAUAAAAAGGACACAGCAUUACUCUGAUUAAGUGUGCUAUUUCCCAGGAAUGGCAGCAUAUGAAAGUUUUGCUUUGUUUUCUUUCUGUCUUUCAGGAGGACAUAGUGUAUGUAGUCUGCUAACUCAAUCACUUUAUUUGGGCAUAGGAAAACUUUUAUUUACAACAUGUAAUUAAAAAAUAUUUGACAAAAAAGGCAUACAGUAUUUUAUACUAAAAGAAUAAAGAUUUUUAUUAAGCACUGUAAGUUGCAUUCAAUAGCCUUCAAAUACACCACACCACAAUCCAUCUACAACCAAUCAAACCCAACAGUAGUUCAUUCUUGCACAAUCCAUGAGUUGGGGCAGAACUCCCUUCAACUUACAUUAAGAUACCUACUUAGCUCUUGCGGGCAGGGAAUGGGGAAUUACACCUCAUUUCUGAUCACUAAUGUGUGAUGAAGAGCAUCAGGAGAAUUAUAUGAAAACGAAUAUAAAGAAAUGAUUCUGAUUUUGAAGUACAUUAAGUUUGGAAACACUAACAAAAACAUCAAAAUGAUACAGGUAUAUUUGCUUAUACUAAAUUCUUGAUGGGAAAGUUCUCAAGAACAAGCCAUUUGUUUCCUGCUACAGAAGGGGGGUACUUUUUUUUUUUUUGAAGAUCAAAGCUUUUUUUUUUUGUUUUUCACAGAAUUUCAUAUUUGCUAAUAUGAAGGCAUAAAACAGCAACAGAGAACAAUAAUGCAUACAGCAAUGAGUACACCAGGGUAACGUUGAUAUUCAAAACGGCUAGAUAAUUUUUUUUUUUUUAAGUUUUA